UAUAGGUGUGUCGGGUGAAAUUAUCCCAUACAUGUUUACUGUUUGCUGUCUAUUUUAUUAAUACCAGGCACCGUGACAUGCAGGUUUUGCAAUCAUUACUGCAAAGAAAAGGAGUUCCCCGUGUAUACAUUAAGUUUCUGAUUAUUCAGGAAGUUUUGAUUUAUGGAUGCUUUAUACAUUCUUUUUUUUCCCUUGAAGUCUAAAUUAGCUGGAUUCAAAAAGUUGGAGACACUUCUAGGAAGGAAUGAUGGCCACAUACCAUAUUGUGUAUGGAUGUCUUCACCAGUUAGAUCUACGGGCAAAGCCACCAAGGCCGAUUUUAACUCUUUUAACCUAGCAUUAGAAAAAGGUUCGUCAGUCAAGCAGAACUUGCCUGGGAAGAAGACAUUGAAGAGGAAAGGCAGCACACAGGUAGAAGAGGCUGCCCUGACCAGGCACAAAAUAAAGAAAGGUUCAACUGAGGACCUCAGUACUGUUCCAAACCAGCAGAAGUCAGCCUGCAAUCUAAGUUCAGACAGUAAGGCUGCUGUUAAUAAGGGGAAACCCAAACUGAACACUAGCAAUAGCGGUUUUACGUACACUACACAAGCUAUAGUGUCGGAGGCUGAGCUUACAAACGGAUUAUCGAUCAAAGGAAAAGCCUUAGCUUCGGGAAGAACAGUCAGAAAAUCCUCGACGCGAUCUAGAAAUAGUUCUUUUUCUGACAAGUCCGACAGUUUUGCUGUGAGGGCUGAAAACCUUAACGACUUAUCUCAACUCCAACCCGCCAAGAGACAAACUCGCUUCAGCUCGGGAUCAUCAAGUGCUAGUUCAGUGUUUGGAAAUUUUGGAGGAGGAGGAGGGGGAGGAAGAACAGGUCGAAGGUCGUGUUCUAGUGCCAGUGAAAGUUCCAACUUUGGUGCAGGACAGAGUCAAAGCCAGGCUUCUUUGGGGUCUUCAUCCUCAGGCAGGGCACUGAGAUCUAAUCCCUCAGCCACCCUCAGUGAAGGCCUGCCUCCUCUUAGGAGGAGCACACGUAAUACAAAGAACACUCAGAGUAGUGGUCAGAAAGCACUGGGCAGUAGUGACUCCCCAGCUCUAACACCAAAGGAUAUCCCAUUGCCUGCAACUGGGGUGGACAGCUUAUUGAACCCAGGGAAGGCUAGUAAUAGGAAGAGACAAGCAUCGGGGGCAUUGUCACAGGAGCUGCACUCAGCAACUGCGAGUGCCGAGUCUGUGAACAGAAGUAGCAACAGUUGCAGUAAAAGUGCUUUGUCAACAACGACUGCAUCGUCAGCGGUUCAAAGGAAAAGUAAAAACGAGCCCUCAGCAGAGAAAAGGCCCAAAAUUGACAAUAAGAAGCACCAGAAAAGCAACAACCCCAGCACAUCUAAACAGAGAUCAGGAAGUAAGAGCCCUACUAGGAAGAAUAGUUCACAGAAGGGGGUUAGUGUUUGUCCAACUAGGAAGAAGAAAAACAUCAGUUCUAAGAACUCCAAUACUGAUAAUAAGAACAGCAGUGGGACUAAUUCCACGGCUUUUAAAGCUGCCAGAGGCAGUAAUAAAGGACUUGCUGCAGGAGAGAAGAAAAACAAACUACAGAAGUCCCCGUCCAAGCUUCCCAGCUUGAGGCGGAGCACACGCACUAAAAAGACGGGUUCGUGUGCCAGUAGCAAUAAUCGACGUUCCUCGUCAGUGACCAAGCGAGAGGGAGCCACCGGUGCACCAACCAGCAGUACUGGUCAAGGUGGAAGUGGAGGGACGUCGAAACCACAGACAGCAAUGGCCGACCAGAAUGGGGAAUCAUCAGGAACAGCCCCCCUGGGUCCUACAGAUGAGGCUGCACCAGGGGCAUCAGGAUUGCAGGCCUCCAGUUCUGCCCUGGGAGCCUCAGCAAUGGCCACAUCAGAGAGUGAGUCAGAGGAGGCAGACAUGGGCAGGCUGCAGGCCCUGCUGGAGGCCAGGGGGCUGCCCCCUCACUUGUUUGGUGCUCUAGGCUCCAGAAUGCACCAGCUGCUACACCGCUCCAUGAGUGGAGGAACAAUCACCAAAGCCCAGCAUUUGCUGCAGGGACUACAAGCCGUGGGAGAUGAAGGACAACAGUUAACUGCUGCCAUAGAAAUGUGUCAGUUACUGGUGAUGGGCAAUGAAGACACCCUGGCUGGCUUCCCUGUCAAACAAGUGGUCCCGGCCCUGAUCACCUUACUGCAGAUGGACCACAACUUUGACAUCAUGAACAAUUCCUGCCGUGCUCUCACAUACAUGAUGGAGGCACUGCCACGCUCCUCUGCGGUGGUGGUGGAUGCAGUGCCGGUCUUCCUGGAGAAGCUGCAGGUCAUUCAGUGCAUGGACGUGGCAGAGCAGGCGCUCACGGCCCUGGAGAUGUUGUCAAGGAGGCACAGCAAGAGUAUUCUGCAGGCGGGAGGAAUAGCUGCCUGCCUGAUGUUCUUGGACUUCUUCUCCAUCACAGCACAGAGGUGUGCACUGGCCAUCACUGCCAACUGCUGCCAGAACAUGAACUCUGAUGAAUUCCACUAUGUUAGGGAUUCUCUGCCCCUGCUCAGUGGCAGGCUGAGUCAUCAUGACAAGAAGUCAGUGGAGAGUGUGUGCCUGUGCUUUAGUCGCCUGGUGGAUAACUUCCAGACAGAUGAGAGGAUACUUAAAGAAAUAUCAGCACAUGGACUGCUGACUAACAUACUACAGCUGUUGGUGGUCACUCCCCCAGUGGUGAACACAGGGACAUUUGUGACAGUGCUGAGGAUGCUGGCAGUGAUGUGUGCCUCCUGCCCUGACCUGGCCGUGGUCUUGCUCAAAUCUAAUAUUGCUGAUACCUUAUGUUACUUACUGGUGGGCACUUCGGAGACUGCCUCACAGGGAGUAGAGUUGGUCACAAGAACACCACAGGAACUAUAUGAAAUAGUCUGUCUCAUUGGGGAGCUGAUGCCCAGCUUACCGAAUGAUGGCGUGUUUUCUGUGGACUCCCUGCUGAGGAAAGGCUGCACAACGAAUACAGACGCCGUCAUAUGGCAGUGGAGGGACGACAGAGGGAUAUGGCACCCUUACUCCCUGAUAGACAGCAGAAUUAUAGAGGCCUCCCAUCAGUCCGGGGAAGAUGAGGUCAGCCUGUCCACUAUGGGUAGGAACUACUCCAUAGAUUUCAACUCGAUGCAGCAGAUCAACGAAGACACGGGGACUUCACGCCCAGUACAGCGAAAACUGAAUCCACUUGCAGCUCACGGCUCUGCCGCAGCCAGCAACAACUGUGGCGUGGUUCGGAGUGAUUCGCGAGCAGAGAUCCUAAAGGAGGACAUGGAUCUUGCCUCCUCAUUCAUCAAGGCCUUGUUUGCAGUGCUGUACGAAGUCUACAGCUCAUCUGCUGGUCCAGCUGUACGCCACAAGUGCCUGCAGGCCAUCCUUAGAAUGGUGUACUACGCCACUCCAGAAUUGCUCAAAGAUGUCCUUCAGAACCAUGCUGUGUCAAGUCAUAUUGCCGCCAUGUUGGCGUCCCAGGACCUCAAAGUGGUGGUGGGAGCCAUGCAGAUGGCUGAAAUCCUGAUGCAGAAGCUGGCUAAUAUAUUUGGCAUUUAUUUUAGGAGAGAGGGCGUAAUGCAUCAAGUGAAGAGACUGGCGGACCCUGCCAACUGGGAGCCCUCCCCCCAGAAGUCCACAGAUUCCGCCAGCACCCCAGUGUCCCAGACCUCCAGGGAGGAACUGAGGGCAGCCGCCACCAGUGUCAGCAGCAGCCUGGGCAGCAGUCUGGAGAAGGUGGACCUGGAUAAUAACUCCACCACACCAAACACUGUGGCAGGGGGAGCCACUGCUGCUACGCCAGAGGCGGCAUUGGAUAGGAGUCCUGGGUCAUCACAGAUGAGGCUGAGUGAUGUGUUAAAGAGAAAGAAGCCCCCAAAGCGGUCAUCACGUAGUUCCCGCAGCAGCAGUAGUGGGAAGACAGAUGAAAGUCCAAGUGCUAUGGAAACUGUGUUUGCCAGACUGGGAGGUGGAGGAGGAGGGGGCAGUAAUAACAGACCCACUCCAUCCAGUAGAGGAAAAACAGGAAAAGACACCAGCAAGUCUGGAGGAGCCACACCAAAGAGUUCCUUUUUAGCCAACCUGAACCCAGCCAGGUGGGGGAGGGCCAGCACCAGUGCCACCCCAGAGAGACCUGUCUCUACAAGGAUCAUUGUCCACCAGCAGGAAACCUUCAUAGUGAAGUCCACCAGCAACCCUAACCUGGUGUCCAACAGGGAGAAGGUGAAGACCUGGAUCAGAGAACAAGCUGCCCGUUUCAUAGAGCAGUACUUCAGUGAUGAGACUCAGGGUAGCAGUCAUCCAGCCAUGGAUAUACUGAAAAGGUUGUCAGUGGCCACAGAACAGCUAGCUAAUCUGGAGGAGGAUGCAGGUCUGGAGUGUCUACAGGUGCUAUCUACUAUCAUGAAGGACAGCGAUGUGUCCCCCUUUGAGAUCAUCCACAGUGGGUUUGUGGGCAAGCUGCUCAAGUAUAUCUCCUUGGCACAUGGAGUGGUGUCCAGGGAAGUGAAGAUUAGGAGAUUUCUACACGUCUUCCUCAACUGUCCACCUCCAGAUGUCACCACUGUCUCCCAGGUUGAGUUCUCAGAAAACCCUCCCUUCUCUCCUCUGAUCAGCAAGUUAGUGGGCUGCCUACACCAGCUAGAGCAGUUCCAGGUCAAAGUUCAUGACCUCCCUGGAGGAGGUACUGGCAACAGCAGAGGAUCCAGUGCUAUCAAAUUCUUCAAUACUCACCAGCUCAAGUGUAACCUAGUUCGCCAUCCAGCCUGCACCAACCUGCGCCAGUGGCGUGGUGGUCCUGUGAAGAUUGACCCCCUGGCGCUAGUACAGGCAAUAGAGAGAUAUCUAGUCAUGAGGGGCUAUGGGAGGAUUAGACCUGAUGCUGAUGACGAAAACAGUGAUGAUGAGAACUCUGAUGACGACUUAGAUGACACCAGGGCGGCAGUGUUUUUAACCCAAGGCACUGGCAGACACAAGCUGGAGUUCCUGAUGGGAGACCGGGUACUGCCCUAUAACUGGACCGUGUACCAGGCUAUUAAACAGUAUGGAUCACUGGAAGGAAGGGACGGCAGUGAGACGGACACUGACACAGAAAAUCCUUUUGGACACGCUGGCAUAUGGGUGCAGACACAUACAAUAUGGUACAGGCCAGCGCCAGAAGAGGACACCAAUGCAUCUCAGCCUACUAGUCCAAAGAAAACCAAGGCAGAGGGGAAGAGUCACAAGGCCUCGCCCAAGGGGAAGAAGGGAGAUGACCUGUGGCUUGGUGGUCAGUGUCCUCCUGUAGUGUUACCCCUGGAUAGAUACCUGUCCCCCAGCCUCCCAGACAGUGUGCUGGUCCAGGACCCGUCCCUGGAGGUGCUGGCCCUGCUCAGAGUGCUACACGCCAUCAAUAUUUAUUGGGGGGCGCUCUAUGAGACCAGCAGUUAUGAUCCCCUAGUGUCCAGUCUGGAGUUCUCCAGUAGUAAACUGAUAGCCAAGGCCAACCGCCAGCUACAGGACCCUCUAGUAAUAAUGACAGGAAACCUCCCCCAGUGGCUGCCUGAGAUUGCUGCAGCAUGCCCUUUCCUCUUCCCCUUUGAUACGAGGCAGAUGUUAUUCUAUGCAACGGCGUUUGAUCGUGAUCGUGCCAUGAUGCGCCUGCAAGACGCCACUCAGGACGCUGCAAACAAUGACACCAGUGAGAGAGUGGCACCUAGAUUAGACAGGAGGAAACGUGUUGUCUCUCGUGAUGAUCUCUUGAAGCAAGCAGAGAAGGUGAUGGAAGAAAUGGGCAAUAGUAAAGCACUGCUGGAAAUACAGUAUGAAAACGAGGUAGGAACUGGUCUAGGUCCCACCCUGGAGUUCUAUUCUUUAGUCUCCAGGGAACUGCGAAGGUCUGACCUAGACAUCUGGCGGGGAGAGGCCACCAAACUUAAAGAUUCUAGUGGUUGUGAUGAAGAGACCCUGUACAUGCAUUCCCCAUGUGGGUUGUUUGUUGCCCCUCUACCAAGAAGUGCCAAAGCUAGUCUGGUGACUAAAGUGAAAAAUAAGUUCAAAUUCCUUGGGAAAUUCAUGGCCAAGGCUCUCAUGGACUCUAGAAUGGUUGAUAUCCCACUGAGCCUGGUGUUCUACAAGUGGCUGCUGAACCAGGAGCAGAGUCUGGAUCACAGGGACUUACAGCACGUGGACACUGUCCUGUACAAGUCAUUCCAACAAAUGCAUCAUAUCGUCCGACAGAAGAAAAGGAUAGAGAGUGAUAAAUCUCAUACUCCAGAGAGCCGCCAGCUGGCCCUGAACAACCUUACCAUAGAUGGCUGCUCUAUAGAGGACCUCAGCCUGGACUUCAUACUGCCGGGGUAUGCCAACAUUGAGCUCAAGAAAGGAGGCAAGGACACUGCGGUCACUCUGGACAAUUUAGAGGAAUAUCUCAAUCUGGUGGUUCACUGGACAUUAGUGGAGGGGGUGUAUAGGCAGUUUGAGGCACUGAGGGAGGGCUUUGAGUCUGUCUUUCCACUGAGGCAUUUACAGAGUUUUUAUCCACAUGAGCUGGAGCAGCUGUUCUGUGGCAGUAGCCAGGAAUUGUGGGAGAUGAAGAGCCUGAUGGAGUGCUGUCGCCCAGACCACGGCUACUCUCAUGACAGCAGGGCCGUGAAAAACCUGUUUGAGAUCCUCAGCUCUUACACCACAGAGGAACAGAGGAGCUUCCUGCAGUUUGUUACUGGCUCUCCAAGGUUACCCGUGGGAGGUUUCAAGAGUCUGUCUCCACCUCUGACAAUCGUCAGGAAGACCUUCGAGCCAAACGAGAGUCCUGACCACUUCCUGCCUUCUGUGAUGACGUGUGUCAACUAUCUCAAGCUACCGGACUAUUCCAGUAUCGAGGUGAUGAGGGAGAAACUGAGGAUAGCUGCUCAGGAGGGACAGCUGUCUUUUCAUCUUUCAUAGCACUGGGUCUGAUAUGGCAGAGUGUAGGCCAUGGCUUUACUGAGGUUUCUUAUUUGCAUCAAAGAAGAACAUAAUGGUUAGAGAGAGAUACGUGGAAUGCAAAUAGCAAGAUCAAAAGGAAAUGGCCUUUUUUGGUUGCUACAUCAAAUGUUGUAUCAUAGUGAAAUGGAUAGUUUUAGCACCAGCAUGGGCAAGAAGGUGAAAAAGCCAAAUUGUCACCCCACAAGAGAAAAGCUUCCGGGUAGAAAUAAACCCAAUUCAAAAGUGCUAGAAGUUUGGAUGUCACUUCGGGGAUUUGGAAUGUUAUUAACUCAAAGUUUGGAUUCGAAAUUCAGUUGGGAUAAUGUGCUACUUAGAACUGGCCAUUAGAGAUGCUAUUCAAGUGUAAGACAGCAUUUGACAUGUGAGCAUCAGAGACCACAGACACAUUGACAUCGAGGCUUUUCCACUGCAAUACAUUGUUCUGCCACACUGGAAGUGGUUUUUCAGAAAUUCCCGUGACAAGGGGAAUUCUGAUUCAGUUCUGUUGCUUAACUUAAGAAUGAAAAGUGACAAGGAAGCUUUUGAUACAAUAAAAGACAAAAAUUUCAGGAUGUUUUAGCCUUUUUAAUUUUACCAUUUAUUUUCAAAACAGGUGAGAAACGUGGAGCAAAUGUGGAACAGAACUGUUAUUUGACCUGUAUGUGCUCUAUUUAAGCUAAAUCGGCUGCAUGAUACACAGCGAGUGAAAACUUGAGCACAGGAUGGACUGUCAAAAUGUACCAGGGUGAAAAAUAGUGCAGAAGCAUCUUGUUUGUACUUGUUACAAUAUGCUCUGAACUUUGGUAUUGUUAAAUUUACAUUUUACGUGUCGUAACAGGUCACAUUGAAAAAGGCAAAUAGAGACAAUAUUGUGGAUUUACAAAGGAAAAAAUGAUGUGCCACGAAUCAGGAGUUGGUAUACUUGUAAGUCAUGUUGAAAAA
This 7893-nucleotide unclassified non-coding RNA is filed under the name Lingula anatina. RNAcentral's name for it is "e3 ubiquitin-protein ligase TRIP12, transcript variant X6". Lineage: Eukaryota; Metazoa; Brachiopoda; Lingulata; Lingulida; Lingulidae. The record is from RNAcentral.